This 21893-nucleotide long non-coding RNA is filed under the name Gossypium barbadense (sea-island cotton). RNAcentral's name for it is "long non-coding RNA (GBAR_LNC015282)". The record is from RNAcentral. Lineage: Eukaryota; Viridiplantae; Streptophyta; Magnoliopsida; Malvales; Malvaceae.
CGUGCCUUCUUUUCCCUUGAUCUCCCAAAAUAAUACAUAGUGACCUGGUGCAGAAGAAGUAUCAACGUAGCUAGUGUACUCUGUCAAGAUGAAUCCGAGUGGAUCGAGAAGAGCCUUUGCUUCUGUCACAGCCUUGAAAAGGUCUGUUUCGCUUGUUUUUUCCUGAUCAACACUUAGGAUAACAUUUUUCCUCUCCACAAAUUGGAAUUGAGGUGCAUUAUUGUAGAAACCACUCACCAUAAGAACAUCUCCAACUUUAUAUCGAUAUAAUCCUGAAAGGAAUAUCAUCAAACUAGAUUAGAUCAUUAUCUAAGAGGUUAAUGUAGGAACUAGGAAGCAUAAUGCAAACUAGAACAUGGCAUUUGAUUAAUUGAUUAUAUUCAAAACAGGAACUUUUACCUGCACAAGUUGUGACAACUAGUUCAUAACACUGACCAGCCUUCACAUUUACAAGAUCAACAAGUUCAGUAUCUUCAUUGUUGCUCUUCAUUUCAAUAGAUCCAUCACCUUCAUUCUUUACUGGAAGGAAUUCGAAGUAAGCCAUGUUAGGGAGAAAUGUGUAGGAGAUAUCACAAGGUUUGCAUAGAGGUUCUAAGUUCAUCCCACAAAUAGCUUCCGAGCAAGCAUAUAAAUCUGAAACUAAAGGGAGCCCUCUGCAAUAGAACUCGAGUUCUGUAGUAUACUGUCUCAUAAUGCCAGUACAAAUGCAGCAAAUAUACCUUGCUUUAGGCCAUAACUUUCUGAUUAUUCCUUCCCAUGAUUUACAAUUACAUAUAGUUUCUAUCAGGUCAGCCUGUUCUGGAUUAGGCUUCAUGACCAAUGAUGCUGCAUUUCUGCAUCCUGAGUCGGUGAUCCAAUCGCUUAAUCGACCUGUUUUUAUGUCAUAGCAUAGCUCUUGCCAGUGAUUUUCUAGAAACUUGAUACCUCUUAGCACCGUAGAUGCAAAGACUGAACCAACCUUGACAACUUCGUCUCGUUGGAUUAAACCAAAAAGUAAUUGACAGUAUAAGCCCUGGUUGGGGUCUGGGCAAAAGAUGGUCUCAACGGGGCUUGUGUAAAGCUUAGGCAAAUUGGCUCUAAAAUUACACUCGUUGUAUAUGCUCGUUGAAACAGAUGCUGCCUUGAGGCCACUAGGAGUUUCAAUCUCUGGUCUGGCAAACAUAAGCUCCAGUCUUUUACCGGCUUGGUUGAUGUCACCAAAGUGCCUUUAAAAUUAGACGGAUAAAGGCAAAUAGUUAGUUUUAGGACUAAGUUGCCGUUGUAAAUGCAAAAAGCAAGAAAAGCAACUAUGUAUAUUAUAGCUAUAUAUGUACAAGUAGUAUUUACUAAAUACGGGUGUUACUAUCUGCGUGGUAUAUUAUACAUAUAUGCAUAUUAUAUGCAUUUGCUUAAUCUGGUAACUUUUAUACAUAUAUUCACAAGCAGCUGAAAGAAAAACUAGAAGAAAAUAGGGAUGGGUUCCUUACUUCAUCGCAGGAGACUCGUACAAGCCACGAAAUAAUUCCCACUUAUUAGCAACUUCAGCAGUGACAGGCAUCAGCUUUGGCUGCCCGCCUGAAGUCCCAGAGCUGCAUUUGAUCAAACAGAUGAUAGAACUAUUAGAAGGAACCAAACAGUACCCCGAAACACACAGAAACAAAGCAACAAAUUCAUGCAUGCCUUAGAAAGAACCCUGUAAUGGGUUCAGCUAAAAGGAUAUCUGAUGUCUCCCCAUUAGCAAUCCUAUCUAUGUAAGGCUUGAGAUCUUCAUAAGUAACUAUGGGAACAUUUUUCUUAAAGAGCUGCUUCUCGGUUUGACCAUGGAGGUAUCCCCUUAAAUACUCUGUUCCUGCAUUUCGACUUAGUAUUUCCCCCAAUACCUCGUCUUGAAUUUGCUCAGCAUUUGUGGUCAGUUCCGCAAUCAUCUUCAACCUACCUUCACACCCAUUCGUUGCCAUCAGCCCUAUUACUGAGAUCCAGACAGCUUUUUCUGUUUUCUUUUUGGGGAUGUUCUAGCUAUUGGCAAUGUAGUCUCUACGCUAAAUAGAAUAAGACUCAUGGGACUUGACCCCACACAUGUCGACACGCAUAAUACACAACGUGGCAUCAACGAAAUGGUUAAAACUAAGAAAGUUGAAUUUAAUGUAAUUGCGUACCAAUUUAUGCCUCUUCCAAUUUUCAAAAGCUAAUUAGACAUGUGUGUCUAAUAAAAUAAAAAUAUUUUAUUUUAUUUUUUUAUGAACAAUUUUCAAUUAAUUAAAAGAAUGAUAAAAUAAAAUACAAUAAAAACGCAACAAAGGGAGGAUAAUUAGUAAAUCAUAAAAAAUGUGUCUUUAUCUACAAUUUUUAUUUGAUAAAAUAUUUUGUGGCACAUAUUUGAUUUUUGUAAUAAAUUACGUGAAACGCUAACCCACCUUGAAAUAAAAAAAUUGGGACAAAUCCGAAUCUCCACAAACUUCUCGAAUAAAUAAAAUAAAAUUUUAUAUAGAGUAUUGUCCCUAUACUUUGUUUAAAAUUAUAUUUCAGUCACUCAACUUUCAAAAGUUAUAUAAUGGUCAUUAACAUUAUCAAAUUGUUACAUUUUUUUAUCACUCUUCCGUUAAAAAAGUAACGAUGCACCUUAAUGUAAAGGGUUAAUAGCUAAUUGGUCCAUGAACUAUUGUUAAAAAAUCAUUUUUAAAUUUUUAAAUUUUUCUUAAUAAUAAUAAUAAAUUAAUUAAUUAAAACACUAUAUAAAAUAUAAAAUUUAGAUAUUACAAUAAUUCAGACAAUCAUUGUCGCUUUUUAUUAAAAAGAAUUAAAUGAUGUAUGUGAAAAAUACUUUAUUAAUAUUUAAAUAAUAUAAUUAUUUUUAUAAGAUAAUGUUUGUAGUAGAAGUAUUUUUUUAAAAGAUUCAUAAAAGCAUGAUAUUAGAAAUUAAAAUGGAAAUUAAUGGUUCAAAAAAUGAAAAUUAAAUAAGAUAAAUUCCUUUUCCUAAGCAACAUAAAUUUUAUAGAGACUAAAAUAGUUAAUAUUAUUAACAUAUUUCUAAAAUUAUAUAAUGUUUUAAAUGGUGGGGACUAAAUGAGAAAAUUAAAAAGGCAAAAACCAUUGAUAGAAUAAAUUAAAAAUAUUAAGGAGUAUAUGUUGCAAAUAACCCUUCACGUUUCCCGUAUAUAAAAGGCAUUUAUUUCCUCUCUUAUUUUCAUGUUUAAUGGGAUGUCAUAGUGAUUAAAUGCUAAAGUUACAUAUUUUAUGUAAUUAAAUUGGUUAAUUUAUGAGAAUGCGUCACUAAUUUUGCCAUAUUUAUUGAAUUUUGUGCAAGAAUACAAUUUGGGGCUAAAUAAAAGAAAAAGGAAACAAUUGGGCUAGAUUGAAGAAAGAAGCAAAGAAGGAGGGCCAAAGCAGAAUUUUGCCAAGAAUAAUUAGCUGAAAUUGUUGACUUAGUGGGAGAUUAUUUUGGGAUAUUUUUUUAUAUCAUGGAAUAUUUUUCCUUGAUUUUCUAUACUAGUUGGCUCUUAAUUUAGUAAGGCCACUAGUAUAAAUAGAGGCUACAUUAUUCAUUUUAAUCACCAAUCAAUUCAUGAAUCAAGCUUUCAAUUAAGUCUUUCAUUAAGUGUUUUUCUUUCUUCAAGUAUUUUUCAUUUAGUUCUUUUAUCAAGUUUUUAAUUACCAAGUUUUGUAGCAAGUUCUUUUUAAGUUUUUCAUCAAGUUUUUUAAUAAAAUUUUCCAUCAAGUUUUUAAUCAUUUCGUUUUUAAAUUAAGCUUUUAUCUCUUGCAAUUCAAUCUUUUCUUUCUUUCUUUUUUUAUCAACAAUUAAUUUCCAACCUUGCGUCACCUUCACCACUCACUUUCAUUUUUUUCAUUUAUUCAAUCUUAUUUAAUUAUUCCAAUACCAACAUGUCCCAAACCUUAGCCAAUUAAACCCUUUUUCAGCUUUAGGCCGAAAUUAGCCUCGUUAAAACCCGUGAGUUACGAACCCGAGCCAUUUAACUCCUAAUAUUCCAGUACUUAUUACUUCUCCGGAUUAAGAGUAUGAUUUUGUCAACUCACAAAGUCAGAUCAACACUAAGUCAAAAAAGACGUCGUUUGAUUUAGUGUGAUUGGACGUACAGUUGGAAUUCUGAAAGGAACGUUUCUAAUCGGUUUUCUGUGAACACAUUGGCGUGCCAAGUGGAGAUUGCUGUUUGGUUCCGUCAAGGGAAGUAGUAACCGAAUUUAAAUGUCCCACGCGGUUAAGGGCAUUGGUUCGAGCUAGGCUCUUUUAGAACGCAAAGUUGCCGGAGUUCUAAAUCACGAACGUUUCGUGGUUGUUCGAUCGGUAAGGGUUAGUUAUUGGACGUUCCAUAACUAAUUUACACAAGGAAGAGUUGGUGUUCGAGGCGUCCUUGGUAGCUAUAACUAGCUUAUUGGAAAAGAGGAGUUCAUCUAAUUUCGAGGAUCGGUUCAAAGACGAGGAAAAUUCGUGCCUAAAGCUGAGCUUAUUCUAAUUAAUUUUUCUUAAUAUUUAUUUCACUAUUUUUAUUAUCAUGUUUUCAACUUUUACUUUUUACGUUAUUUUUCUGUUUAUUUCAGGUCAUCAAAUUUUAUCCCCCCGAAUUUCUUGGGCAUGACAGCUGCCCCGACAUAAAUCUGGUCAAGAGAGCAACAAUUUACAGUAAACCAAUCUCUGAGGGAUCGACCCUACUCCCUAUACUGCAUAAUUUGCAAAUUAAGGCGUAGGUUUAUAUUGGUGGAUUCGACACCCAUCAGUUUUGGCGCUGUUGUCGGGGACUGACAACACUCACAAUUGUUUAAAUUAUCUUCAUGACCAAAUCUUCAUCCGGAGAUCUCGAAUACGACCUAGAGAUCAAAAAAUCAGUACGAGCACGACGAAAAGAGACAGAAGCUCUUAAACGUGCAAGUAAAGCAGAAGUUGAGCUAGGACAAGGGCUCUUAGAAAUCGACAUUGAAAAAUUGAGAUAAGCAAUUCGUGCAUAGGCAAUUCGACGUGGGAAACAAGUCGAAGUGGUUGAUCCUGAGACCGAACCACUUCCUGAAACAAAAAAAGUAGAAGACAACCUCGGCGAACCAGAAAGGAUGGCGAACUGAACUAUUCGUCAACUAGCCGCUGCUUCCAACGAGCAAACACCAUUAUGCAUCAACUAUCCAGUCGGAGAAACCCCAUUCGAGUUAAAAUCAGGCCUGAUUCACCUUUUGCCCACUUUUCGAGGCUUGAAAAAUGAGAAUCCACAUACCCACUUGAGAGAAUUCCACAUGGUCUGCUCAAGCAUGAAACCACAGGGAGUAACCGAAGAUGAAAUUAAACUUCGGGCCUUUCCUUUUUCUUUAGUUGAUACAGCAAAAGAAUGGUUAUUUUACUUACCUCCAGGUUCUAUUACAACGUGGGAUGACUUAUCUCGUGUUUUUCUUGACAGAUUUUUCCCAGCAUCGCGAGCAGCUGAACUUAGGAGAGACAUAGUAGGAAUUCGCCAAAUGGAAAGUGAAUCGCUCUAUGACUAUUGGGAGCGGUACAAAAAACUGUGUGCAAGUUGUCCUCAACACGGUUUGACUGAGCAAUCACUUUUUCAGUAUUUCUACGAGGGUUUGCUCCCUAUGGAAAUGAAAAUGAUUGAUGCUGCUAGUGGAGGGGCGCUUGUCAAUAUGACUCCUCAAAGGGCAAGAGAACUGAUAUCCACCAUGGCGACAAAUUCUCAACAGUAUCGGCCAAAUUUAGAACCCACAAGACAGGUUAAUGGGGUAAACGUUUCAUCCUUAGAAGAUAAAUUGGAUAAGCUUACCAAUAUUGUUCAGUCUAUGCUUACAGAAAAGAAGAAUCAGACCCAACUGUGUGGAGUUUGUACUACAUCUGAACAUUCGACGGAUUUGUACCGAAUCCUUAACGAAAAUUCAACAGCACAUGUCGACGCUGUCGGAGGUUUUCCGGAACCUCUACAAAGACGCUAUGAUCCUUUCUCCAACACUUACAAUCCCGGGUGGAAGGAUAUCCCAACUUGAAUUAUGGAUCCAAUCCUCGAUAUAACCCAUCGUACCAACCAAGACCUCCGCAACCGCCACUCAAGCCGAGCACAUCUCUAGAAGCUGUUAUGGAAAGACUUGUCGUCGAUGUUGCGAAGUACCAACAGAGGACAGACGCAUCAAUACAGGAUUUAACUAAUCAAGUUAGUAAACUCUCGAUGAUGGUUAAUCGUUUGGAAUCUCAAGGUAAAUUACCUUCUCAGACGGAGCCGAAUCCUCGACAAAAUGCAAGUGCAAUAAUUCUUCGUAGUGGAAAAAUUCUGUAACCAGUUCCCGAAAAAAGUCAUGGGUAAGACAAGGAACGGGAAAAUCAUAUCUCUGAUCCAAAAGCCAAACCAGAAUUAGAAAUUCAGAAACCAAUUGUGAUGCCACCUCCUUUUCCAGGGAGACUCGCAAAGGAUAAGAAAGAGAAUAAGGAAAAAGAAAUCCUCGAAACGUUCAGGAAGGUGGAGGUAAAUAUCCCUUUGCUCGACGCUAUCAAGCAAAUCCCUCGUUAUGCGAAAUUUCUCAAGGAAUUGUGCACUAGAAAAAGGAGGUUAAUAGGUAACGAAAGAGUAAAUGUAGGAGAAAAUGUCUCCGCAGUACUGCAAAAGAAAGUUCCGCCUAAAUACAAGGACCAAGGUAUGUUUGCUAUUUCCUGUGAGAUAGGUAAUGUAGGCAUUAAGAAAGCCAUAUGUGAUUUAGGGGAUUCCAUUAAUGUUAUGUCUUAUCCUAUUUAUAAGUUAAUUAACGCGGGUCCUUUGAAAAAGAUAGGAGUAAUAAUCCAAUUGGCGGACAGGUCAGUCAUCUAUCCCGAAGGGUUGCUUGAAGACGUCCUUGUUAAAGUUAACGAAUUAGUUUUCCCUGCAGAUUUCUACAUUAUUAAUAUGGAGGACGAUAACUCCACUAAUUCGUCUGACAUUUUACUUGGAAGACCGUACCUAAGUACCGCAAGCGCAAAAAUUGAUAUUCAGAGUGGAACAUUGACAAUGGAGUUUGAUGGCGAAAUCGUGAAAUUCAAUGUCUACGAAGCCAUGAGUCAUCCUAACUCAUUAUCAAAUAUUUCCAGUAUCGAUAGUAUAGAUUGUUUAACUCAAAAUUAUUUUGAAUAUCAUGACUUUGAUGAGUUGGAAACUAUCCUUUUACAGAAGCAUUAACAUGGAUGUAUUGAGUCGUCUCAAGGAGUUAGCAGUUAUAGAAGAUCCGUUGCGAGAAAUUGUAAAACACUUGGAGACGCAACCAUCGUCGACGAGUCGAGGUAACCAACUUGAACUAUUACCUUCCCAAGUUAAAAUGUUGCCUUCGAUUUUGCAGCCACCAACUUGGAGCUUAAAGUGUUACCGGACCACCUUAAGUAUGUCUUUUUGGGAGAGAAAGACACCUUACCGUUAAUAGUGUCAAACAGACUAACCAAAGACGAGGAGGAAAGUCUAGUUCGAGUUCUGAAGGAUUAUAAGGAAGCUAUUGGUUGGACAAUAGCUGACAUAAAAGGGCUAAGUCCAUCCACUUGUAUGCAUAGAAUUUCCAUCGAAGAUAACACGAAACCAAAGAGAGAUGCUCAGAGGCGCCUUAAUCCACCCAUGACGGAGGUAGUAAAGAAAGAAAUCCAGAAAAUGUUGGAUGCUGGAAUGAUAUACCCGAUCUCUGACAGUGACUGGGUUAGCCCGGUUCAUGUCGUGCCCAAGAAAACUGGCGUGACAGUGGUGAAAAAUUCGUCAGGAGAGCUAGUUCCUACCCGAGUCCAGAAUGGAUGGAGGGUUUGCAUCGAUUACAGGAAGUUGAACGCAGCGACCCGAAAAGACCAUUUCCACUUCCUUUCAUCGAUCAAAUACUCGAGCGAUUAGCUGGUAAGACUCAUUAUUGUUGUCUCGAUGGAUAUUCAGGAUUUUCCCAAAUUCCGGUGGCGCCUGAGGAUCAAGACAAAACAACUUUCACGUGCCCCUUUGGAACGUUUGCGUAUAGACGAAUGCCGUUUGGACUCUGUAAUGCUCCGGCCACCUUCUAGAGAUGCAUGGUAAGCAUAUUCUCCAAUUACGUCGAGAAAAUCAUUGAAGUCUUCAUGGAUGACUUCACGGUGUACGGUAAAUCUUUUAAUGAAUGUCUCGAUAAUCUUGCUAAGAUAUUACAAAGAUGCCUAGAAUUUAAUCUUGUUUUAAAUUAUGAAAAAUGCCACUUUAUGGUUGACAAAGGAUUAAUUUUAGGUCAUAUAGUUUCCUCAGAAGGUAUUGAGGUCGAUAAAGCAAAAACGGAUAUUAUUAACUCAUUACCUUAUCCGACAUCUGUGAGGGAAAUUCGUUCGUUUCUUGGGCAUGCAAGAUUUUACAGACGAUUCAUAAAAGACUUCUCGAAGAUCGCGCAACCGCUUUGCAGUCUGUUAUAGAAGGAUAAAGAAUUUAAAUUUGACUAGACUUAUAAAGAUGCAUUUGCACUAGACUUAUAGUGCAACCACCAAAUUGGAACUUCCCGUUCGAAAUCAUGUGUGAUGCAAGUGAUCGAAGUGUGGGAGCUGUUCUUGGCCAAAGAAUAGGGAAAGAGCCUCAUGUUAUCUACUAUGCUUCGAAAACCUUGGAUGCUGCCCAAAGCAAUUAUACAACAACUGAGAAAGAAUUAUUAGCUGUUGUGUUUGCUUUAGAUAAAUUUAGAUCUUACCUAUUGGAAACUAAAGUGAUUAUUUUUUCUGAUCAUGUAGCAUUGAAAUAUUUGAUAGGGAAGAAGGAGGCAAAACCUCGACUGAUUAGGUGGAUUCUACUCCUGCAAGAAUUUGAUUUUGAAAUUCGGGAUAAGAAGGGAUGUGAAAGCUUAUUAGCUGACCAUAUUAGUCGAUUACCGAUUUCAGCAGAUGACACACCAUUGAAAGAUAACUUCCCAGAUGAAAACCUGUUUUCAGCAAAUGCGGUUCAUCCUUGGUACGCAGAUAUAGUAAACUAUCUUGUCACAGGUACUAUACCUUCAGAAUUACCAAGGUCUAAAAAAGAUAAGAUUAAAAAGGAUGCUCGAUAUUACAUUUGGGACGAUCCUUACCUAUGGAAGCAUUGCUCUGAUCAGGUAAUCCAACGGUGUGUAGCAGAAACAGAGGUACAGUCUAUCUUAACUUUUUGUCAUUCUUAUGCAUGUGGAGGACACUUUGGACCCAAACGCACCGCACAUAAAAUUCUCAAGUGUGGACUAUUUUGGCCAAACAUAUUUUGUGAUGCCUUCUUAUUCUGUAAAACCUGUGAAAGAUGCCAAAAAGUCGGUAACCUUAGUCGACGAAAUGAGAUGCCCCUUACUUCUAUCCAUAUUUAUGAAAUUUUCGAUGUGUGGAGCAUCGAUUUUAUGGGACCUUUUAUUUCUUCUUUUGGUAAUUUUUAUAUACUCUUAGCUAUUGAUUACGUUUCUAAGUGGAUAGAAGCAAAGGCUACUCGCAAUGAUAAUGCUAAGACUGUGGUUGACUUUCUUAAAAGUUCUAUCUUUUCCAGGUAUGGCACCCCACGAGCAUUAAUCAGCGACAGAUGAACUCAUUUCUGCAAUAAACUCGUAAGUGCACUUAUGGAAAAAUAUAAAGUGACUCAACGAAUUGCCACUGCCUACCAUCCAUAAACAAACGGACAAGCUGAAGUGUCAAAUCGAGAAAUCAAGUCCAUAUUGGAGAAGACUGUUAAACCUAACAGAAAGGAUUGGAGCUUGGGACUAAAUGACGCACUUUGGGCUUAUAGGACAGCUUACAAUGGACCAAUAGGCAUGUCACCUUAUCGACUUGUUUUUGAUAGACCGUGUCAUCUCCCGGUUGAAUUAGAGCAUAAAACAUUUUGGGCAGUUAAGCAGUGUAAUAUGGAGAUGGAGACCGCAGGAAGAGCUCGAAAGUUGGACAUUCAGGAACUCGAGGAAAUUAGAAAUGAUGCAUAUAAAAAUGCUCGAGUUUAUAAAGAAAAGACGAAGGCGUUCCACGAUAAGAUGAUCACUAGGAAGCAGUUUUCAAUAGGACAAAAAGUUCUCCUAUACGACUCCACCUUAAAAAUUUUCGCUGGUAAGCUUCGAUCCAAAUGGAUAGGUCCAUUUACUAUCACUAAUUUAUUCUCAAAUGGUGCAGUGGAAAUUCAAAGCGAAGAAACCCGGAAGUGCUGUAAGGUGAAUGGUCAACGAUUGAAACCCUUCUACGAGAAUUUUCAAACGCACACGAUUGAGGAGAUUGUUCUCGAGGAGCUCGAAAAUUGAAUAACAGGUCGUCGAGCUAACGACGUUAAACAUAGCGCUGUUGGGAGGCAACCCAAAUUUUCUUUUCCUUUAUGAAAAUAAAAUUUUUGGUAAAGUGGAAAAUGAAAAUGCAUAUCGAGGAUUAGUUCUGUCUAAGGAAAGACUUGGUACUUAAGUAUGUCCAUUGUGACUCACCUCUCUUUACUGGGAACUUACUUGGUGCAUUUAUCACGACUAUUUUACCAAAUAUCGUAAUUUUAAUUUCUUUCUUGAGUUUAUAGCUUAGUUAAUAAAUUUGAAAAAAAAUUCCUAUUAUUAUUAUUACUUAUUAUUACUGUUUUAUUUCAUUUUUAUUUUUAUUUUUGCAGGGAAACAUUCCAAGACAAAGUUAAAAUUCCACAUGUCAUCCCACAAAAUUCUUUUUAUUUUCAGCCAAGGCCCACUCAGCAUAUCCACUUUUUUUUAAAAAAAUUAAUCCAAGCUAGCCCAUUAACCCAAACCCAUCAUACCUACCCAAAACCAAAAAGAAAAAAAAAUCAAAAUUUAAACCCAAAUUUUCCCACCCCAAUCGUCCAACCCUUUUCCAAUAUAAAAAAAACCCUUACACCCAUCACAUCCUAGCCUUUCACCCAUCAAAUCAAACUUUUCACCUAAAAAAUAACCCCACUACCCCAUAUUGAACCCAAAAUCUUUCUACCCCAACCGUCCACUCCUUUCAAAUAAAAACAAAAACCCUUACACCCAUCAAAUCCUAAUCUUUCACCUAGCACAUCCUAGUUUUCUUUUCACCCUAAAAAAACCACACAAACACAUUACCCAUUAUUUGACCGGCUAAAGAAAGAAAAUUUUUUUUCAAACUCUUCCUUUCUUUUAUUUCCCUUCACCUUCAACACUGCUAUUUCUUUUUCUUUCUUUUACCAUCUUCAACACCACAACUCCAAACAGCCCUCCAAGAAAGCCAUGGUACGUACUCGCGACCGCGCAGUGCAAGAACCACCUUCCGUGGUAAAUCGACGUAAACACCAUUUUUUUCGCUCCAACCUUUGUCACCAUCGACUCCGACGAGUCUCCUCCAUCAUCACCGCCGCAACCACGCCACCCUAGAAGAAACCGUAGCCCAACUCCGAUCGCCGUAAUCUACUCGCCCCAUGAGCCGCCCGUUUCGACCGACCACCAUUCCAACAGCCCAGUCGAACCACCUAACUCGUCCGACAUCCAAGAUCGCCCCUCUCCCCAACCAAAUGUCCAUGCACGACAACCACCACAACCGAGACCUUCGAGAAGAACUCCGCGAUCCCUAAACGAUGGUGCUGAACCACAUUCAACGUAAAGACAAACCCGAGGCCGCCAACAGCCACCUUUGGUCGGUUCAUCAACUCCAACAGCGGGCGAUGCCGAAAAUUACGAAAAUGAAACGAAAAAUCAGGACACUGAGUAUCAUCCACGUGAGCGAGGUCAAUUUCGACAAGGAAGAGUAUUCAUGCCCCCGGAGAACAGAUUUCACGGGAAUCUAACAUUUACGAAUCCGGCACAUCAAGCGCAAUUCAAACAAAUUCAACAUCACCUUCUUCCAGUAUGUAAGCACGUCGACUCAUUCUCAUUAUAUUAUUUAGUUAUUGAAGAAUCUGUUAAUCAAUAUUUUGAUGCUAUUGGGUGGACUGAUUUUGCUGCUAUUGAUGAACCUGCAUAUUAUGAGUUGGUUUUUGAAUUUUAUUCUACAUUUUAUUUCAACCGUUCUGCCAACACCAUAGAUACGCCUCAUGCUCUCAAUUUUCGCUUGCUAGGUGUACAUUAUAAUCUGUUUCUUUCUGAGUUUAAUAUUGCUUUGGGAUUUGUUAUUGAGGACUAUUUAGCAACUAAUGACUAUUAUGACUCUUUUCUCGACAUACCACCUGACUUUGAUGCUAAUGAAGCUUUGGCAUUGUUAACUGAAAUGAGACAGAUUUCGUAUGAUCAGAAACGUUACAAAGACAUAGGAAUUCAUAGUCCUGCACUUCGAUAUAUACACUGAUUCCUUGCUUUCAAUUUUUCGGGACGUAAUGAUGUGUCUGCUUCUUUAACUAGAACUAAAUUAUUUUUUCUAUGGUGCAUGCGUUCGGGAAAAAAGGUAAAUUUAGGAUAUUGGUUUGCUAUACAGUUUCAGCAUGUUUUGCGAUCGAAUCGGCCACUUAUUUUGGGUACUUACAUCACACAUUUAGCCUCUAAUUUGAAUCCAUCAGCUGUCAAUUUUAGUUCUUUGAAUUUGGCAUACAAAACGGACUCUUUAGAUACAUACUGUUUGGAUUCCAUGGUGUUACUUGCCGGUACCCCUUCUUCUUUUUAUUUUGUUCCUCCAGGUACAAGAACAGAUCGGUCGCAUAGAGUAUUCAGACGAAGACACCAGCACGGACCAGAGCCUCCAAAUUUUGUCGAAUCUUGAUUAACCCGAAUCGAAGAAGGACUCGACUCUUUACGUACCUUAGUGACAGACGUUCUCACACAUCUACGAGACCAUCCUCCACGACGUUGAAAUAUAUGGGAAGUUUAUUUUUCUUCUUUUGUCUACUUAAUUUUACCUUAUAUCCUUUAAUAUUACAUUGGGACAAUGUAAAAUAAGUAGGGGGAGGGAAACAUAAAUUGGUUCUAAUUUCCUUAUCUAUCAUCGCUAUUUUUGCAUGUUUUUGGUAAAAGGUAAAUUUUUCUUUUAAUUGGGAUGAUACACUUAUGGUUUGACCGAUUUAGCUAUUUAAUUCUUUACACAUGAAACUUUUCAAUAACCUAGACUUAGUGGGUAAGAAAUUUUUGGGAAUUAUGAGUUUGCUUGAUUGCCUACCUUUUAUCAUAUGUUUUUAUUAUUUUGUCAAAAAAAAAAGAAAAAAAAAGAAAGAAAAGAUUGAAUUACAAGAGAUAAAAGCUUAAUUUAAAAACGAAAUGAUUAAAAACUUGAUGGAAAAUUUUAUUAAAAAACUUGAUGAAAAACUUAAAAAGAACUUGCUACAAAACUUGAUAGAAAACUUGGUAAUUAAAAACUUGAUAAAAGAACUAAAUGAAAAAUACUUGAAGAAAGAAAAACACUUAAUGAAAGACUUAAUUGAAAGCUUGAUUCAUGAAUUGAUUGGUGAUUAAAAUGAAUAAUGUAGCCUCUAUUUAUACUAGUGGCCUUGCUAAAUUAAGAGCCAACUAGUAUAGAAAAUCAAGGAAAAAUAUUCCAUGAUAUAAAAAAAUAUCCCAAAAUAAUCUCCCACUAAGUCAACAAUUUCAGCUAAUUAUUCUUGGCAAAAUUUUGCUUUGGCCCUCCUUCUUUGCUUCUUUCUUCAAUCUAGCCCAAUUGUUUCCUUUUUCUUCUAUUUAGCCUCAAAUUACAUUCCUGCACAAAAUUCAAUAAAUAUGGCAAAAUUAGUGGUGCAUUCUCAUAAAUUAACCAAUUUAAUUACAUAAAAUAUGUAACUUUAGCAUUUAAUCACAUAGGCUGUUGUAUCAAAGCCCGUGAUGAAAUGCACGCAGGUUGUCCCAUGAAGAUCAAUUAAUUAAAUGAAACUUAUUUGACCCACUUGAAUUAGCCAAAUUCGUGGAACACAUGAAGAAGUUCAUAUACUUAAAGUCUUGGUGGUCUAAUGAAACACUCUAGUAAAACUAGAGUUACAGGGGUAAUUAUUGUAAAUCCUAAGGGAUAAAGAUGUAUGAGUUUAAAUCUCUUAGGACUCUCAUCUUGUAGAUAAGCACUAAUCUCAAUCGUCGAUGUAAUUUAAUCUGUAUUGCUGGAUCUGGGGAAGCUCAACUAUAAAUAGAGGUUUUUCCCCUCAUUUGUAAUCACUUCAUCCCUUGUACAAUAUUCUUGAGCUAAAGAAUAUUUUUUAGAGCAUUUACUCAAACGCUUGGUGUGCUAUUAUUUUCUCAUUGCUUUUUUGUUCGACUCAAGUCCCUUCGCCUUUUCAAGUUGCUUUCGCUUUAUUUCGGUGCCUUAGAGAAUUUCUGGAAGAAUUUUCACUUUUUCAAGAGUAAGGCUGACUUAGAUAGAUUUGAACAAAAAAAUCGCCUAAGGCGACGUAGUUUGCCAAACUAAAGUUUUAGUCUCGUGACAAAAUAAAGUAGUUGAAAAAUAAAAAAGAAAACUUAAGUUUCCUUGUUUUUUUCCCUUGCUUCAUUUUGUUGUCUUUUAGACAAGAUUUUAAUCAUAUGCUAGAAAAUUCAAAAUUUUCUAGUUUUCAAUAUAAAAAAAAUAUCAUAGCUCCUUGGUAAUUAUGUACUUUCUAAUAGAGGUUUAUUCAAAAUACACACACCAGGUAUUUUGUCACGAACCAUCUUGGCUAAAGCAUUUGCAACCUUGUUUACUUCCCUAGGAAUAUGUUGAAUGUGCCAAUGAUGCACUUGUAUCAAGAGCUGUUGAAUUCUCCUAAUCAAAGUUUGCAACAAAUCUUCAAACUCAUGGCCACAUAACUUACAGGAACUAUCACUACCCAUACCCCUUCUUACAUUUUCCACAUUCGUGAGUAAUCGUUGCUUAAAAACCAACCAAAUGAAGGUCCGAACUCGUUGUGGUCCUUGAAACUUCCAAAGGAGUUUCCAAACGGCCUCUUUCAAAUUCCAUGUAUCCUCUCUUAGUUUUCCAUAUACGGUUUUCAAAGAGAAAUAACCUGUUGCAAAACACCCCUAAGUGAUUCUAUCAGGUCUUGCAGUAAGGUGUGGUGGUGGUACUCUUACAAUAUUUGCAAUAAUGUCAUCAAAACAAUAAAGACAAAAGAAUCCAAGGUUCCAAUAACCAUCAUCUGCGACCAUCCCGCUGAGGGGACAAUUCAUUUCCAGAUUCGUAGCAGAAGUGAUAUUUUUCCAAAGCCCAAAUCUUUGGGAUCCAAGGAUCCUUCCAACAAUUAAUAUCUUUCCAUUCUCGAUUGACCACAGCAAGUUUUCACGUAUUAAGGGCCAUACCUUGUCAAGAGCACACCAAAGAAAAGAGACUUGCCCUCUCGAAAGGGACUCUAGCAAACUAUCUUUCACAUUAUACUUCGAUCUAAGAACAUGAACCCAUAGAGCAUUAAAGUUUGUCACAAUUUUAUAACUAAUCUUCAUCAUGAAUGAAGUGUUGCGAUCUCUCAAGAAUCUCAACCCAAGUUCACCAUGCACUUUAGGUUGACAAAUCGAAUCCCAAUUAACCAAAACUGAUUUUUGAGUCUCGUUAUAAGGCCCCAUAUGAAUUUCCUGACCAUCUGCUCAAUUUUGUCACACAAGCCCUUGGGAAUCAUCAUGGAUUGUGUUAAGUAUGACUCAUAUUUUCAGUCAAAUUUAAAAAAUAAUCUUCUAGUUAAACUCUGUUUAUUUGUUUCAAUCAAACACUGAUUAAUUUAGAUUAUAUUAUUAUUUGACAUAUGAAUUUAGCCUAUAAAUAGGCUCUUUUACAACCUUAGAAAUAAUACACCAUUUAGAGAUUAGAACUCAUAACACAUUUAGAGAAUUUUGUGUUUCCGUUUUGAGAGUUUUUUAUUUUCGAGUUUGGAGUUUAAUUUUAUCUUCAUCUUUUGUACUCUUCAUUCUUUUGCCAUUAUAAUAAAAUUAUUUUUGCCCGUGGUUUUUUAUCUUCUUUGGAGGGAUUUUUUCACGUUAAAUUUGUGUGUUCAAUUUCUCAAUUUAUUUCGCUAUUUUUGUUAAUUGUUGCUUAAUCAGGUCGAUCCCUAACAAGUGGUAUCAGAGCUAGUUCAAUUUUUAUAGAUCAGCCCAUUCAGAUAUGACAGUAACAAGAUUUGAAAUUGAGAAGUUCAACGGUGAAACAAAUUUCAAUCUGGUUUAAAAAAGGUUGUUACUAGGAAAAAGCCUGAGAAUCUAAAUAAAACAGAAUGGGAAGAGCUUGAAGAAAAGACCUUGUCUGCAAUCCAGUUGUGCCUCGUGAAUAUGAUAUUGCAGGAGGUAUUGAUGGAGAAGACCUCAUCCGCCUUGUGAAAAAGGUUAGAAACUCUUUAUGCGACUAAAUCUCUGGCUAAUCGUUUAGUGUUGAAAUAACGUAUAUUUACAUUUCGCAUGAACGGAUGUGAGCUCCUUAGAGAUUAUAUCAAUCAAUUUAUUACUCUUUUAAAUGAUUUAAAGAACGUUGAGGUUCAUAUUGAUGAUGAAGAUCAAGCUAUGCUAUUUUUAUGCUCUUUACCCCUUUUAUACAAGUCUUUCAGGGAAGACUCUGAUUUAUGGCAGAGACAAACUUUCGUUCGAAGAUGUGAAGGGCCAUUUGUUGAGUAGAGACAAACUUGACAAUGAGCUUCAUUUGGAUAGCAAAGCAGAUAGGCAAGCUUCUGUUUUGAUGGCAUCAAAGAAACGAGACAAAGGGUGUCACUAUUGUAAAAAGUUAGGUCACGUCAAAGCAGGUUGUUAUAAACUACAAAAUAAAAGAGCUGCUGAGAGUAACGAGGAAGAUGUAGCUGGUGCUAAUUUGAUCGAUGAAAGCGGUGAUGAUUUCUUAUUAGUGUCAAUGAGCGAUAACUCCAAGUUUAUGUCCGAGUGGAUCCUAGAUUCGGGAUGCUCUUUCCACAUGUGUCUCAAUAGAGAAUGGUUCUCCACAUAUAGUUCAGUUGAAGGUGGAUUUGUGCGCAUGGGAAACGAUUCAUCUAGUAAUGUAAUUGGUAUUGGUACUGUUAAAAUUAGGAUACACGAUGGGACGAUUAGGACACUCUCAGAUGUCAGGUAUGUACCUGAUUUACGAAAGAAUCUCAUCUCCUUGAGUAUUUUAGACUUGAAAGGAUGCAGAAUCAACAUCGAGUCAAGCGACAUUAAAGUAUCUCGUGGAGCUCUCGUUUGGUUAAAAGGUAAAAGAACUGGCAGUCUUUAUAUUCUAGAAGGUUCUACAGUGACCAGUGAAAUUGGACGUCCCUCGUCCAUUAUAGAGUCGAAGUCAACUCGUUUGGAGCGGAGGCAACUUGGUCAUAGAAGGGAAAAAUGUAUGACCGUUUCGUUGAGGAGAGGUUCUCUUUUGGAUGCAGGUUUUGAAAAGUUAGGGCACUGUGUUCGUGAAAAUCAGACCCAGGUUAGUUUUGAUUUGGCAGUGUACAAGUCAAAAGCUAAGUCUUCCAGUUUCUAAGCACAGAUUCAACUCAGUUAAUUCCCUGCAUAGUUCAAGAUAGGCUCGUGGCGGGCUUUGGCAAAGAUAGCGUUGUAGAAAUAUGAGUCAAAGUGGAGAUUUGUUAAGUAUGACUUCUAUUUUCAGUUAAAUUUGAAAAAUAAUCUUCUAGUUAAACUCUAUUUAUUUGUUUGAAUCAAACACUAAUUAGUUUAGAUUAUUUUAUUAUUAUUUGACAUAUGAAUUUAGCCUAUAAAUAGGCUCUUUUACAACCUUAGAAAUAACACCCCAUUUAGAGAUUAGAACUCAUAACAUAUUUAGAGAAUUUUGUGUUUACGUUUUGAGGGUUCUUUGUUUUCGGGUUUGGGGUUUAGUUUUAUCUCCAUCUUUUGUACUCUUUGUUCUUUUGCCAUUAUAGUAAAAUUAUCUUUGCUCGUGGUUUUUUAUCUUCUUUGGAAGGAUUUUUUCACGUUAAAUUUGUGUCUUCAAUUUCUCAAUUUAUUCCGCUAUUUUUGUUACUUGUUGUUUAAUCGGGUUGAUCCCUAACAGAUUGUAUGAAAUUACUUGGGAUUGCUGGAAGCACCGACUAAGCUAAGGUAACUCUUCCAGAUAGAGAAAGUUUUCGAGCAUCCCAACUUGAAAGCUUAUUACGCACCCUAUCAACAAUGAAACGAAGGGUAGUGUUGGUUACCUUGUCACGGAAUAGGGGCACUCUUAGAUAACAUCCCAAAUUUUGCACCUUAGAUCAUCAUCCACACCUAGCGAGAAGAAAAUAUUAGUUUUUUGUAGAUUAAUUUUAUGGCCCGAGAGGUUACAAAAGGUAUCAAGGACUCCUUUGAUGACCUUUGCCUGAGUCUUAUCCGCUUGACCAAACAAAAUCAAAUCAUCUACAAAAAAGAGAUGUGACAAGGUCCAUUACAUUGUAUCUAAGUUGUUUCUUUAGAAUCAGAAAUUUUGAGAUAGUCAAUCUUAUUUAAGAUUUCUAUUGUAAGAAUAAUUAUUGAUAAGAUUAAAAUUUGUGAAUCAAAUUGGGUCCAUUUGUGACUCCCCAUACCUAAAUUCAGAGAUCGGGUCGGAUGAAGGUGUUACAAUAUUAGUUUUAAUUUUUUUAGUUUUAUGAACAUACGAAUUUAUAUUUAAUUUUUUAAAUCAUUUUAAUGUAAUAUAUCCAAACUAAUGAAUGAAACAUUUAUGUCAUUAAAUAUUCUUAAAAAUUUUUAAUUGGAACACUUCAAUUUAAAAAAUAUAUAUUUUCAUAUAUUUUAAUUAAUACAUUCGAUCAGGUAAAAUAGUUAGUAUCAAUACAAAAAAAAAAGCAUAUGUGGAAAUAUUAAAUUUUAGGCUAAUUCUUUGAGUUUCAAAAUGCUUUCUUUUUUUAGUUAUAUUUAAAGUGAAACUUAACUUUAGAAUGAGCUAGUUUUCUAUCUCGUACGAUGCACAGAUUAGAUUAUAUGUAUCAAAUUUAAAAUUUUAUAUUAAUUAGUUAAAUAAAUUAUAACAUUUCAGGAAUGCUAUGAUUGAGAAAGUAAAAUAAAUAAUAUAAAUGUUUAAUUUUGGAAUUAAGAUAAUAUGUAUCAUGAUAGAUAUAAAUUAAGAACAAAAUAAGUUGAAUGUUUAAAAUAAAUUUAAAUAAUUUAUUGAUAUUCAUUAAAAUGAUCGAAAAUUUAGCAUUUUAAAAAAUGAAAUUAUGAUGUCAAUAUUUUAUAUAGUCAAUAUCUACUCUAAAUAGUUGUUUGAAAAUAUUGUUAUUAGUCUAAUUUUAGAAAAUAAAUAAUAAUUAAUUAACAUAUGCAAUAUCUUGAAAAUGUGUGUUUACUUUAGUUAAAAUAAUAUUGUAUCAUUUAUUACAAUACCAGCAAAACAAUAAUUGUAUAAUAUCAAAUCCAGAUCAUUCAUGGGGCAGUGAAUACCUUGAUCAUUAAGUCAACACAUGGGGUUAUUAAGUAAAUGUAGUAUAAUAAUAAAAUAGAAUUUCAAAAAAGGGAGCGCCUCAACUGUACGUGGGACAUAUUCACCUCUUGAUGGGUAGUCGUACGUCCUACGUACGGUUGAAGCACUUUCCUCCAUGAACUGUACACCGCUCUCUGUAGAGAGGGACAAGACCUUCCCAAGAAGAUUAUACAUUUUAUUGAGGGAUUGAAUCGACAUCUUUGAGAAUGACACUACGAAAACUUCUCUCGAAAAAAUAGAUCUUUAUAUUUUUGAGAGAAUGUUUGUAUUCAUUCAUACGUAGGGUGGCCUAUUUACAAAGACGGAUAGACAAGGCCUUUUGAAGGGAGCGGGUAAUUCGUUCACAACAGUGAACAACUUAUUGGCUAUAACCCUAUGAAAAGAUUGGAGGGUUGAAUGAAGGCAUGCCUUCUAAGAUGUGGGUCAUUCUCAAGUCAUUCCCAAGUAAUAGAAAAUAGAGAAUUGCCUUCUCAAGUGAUUCGCUAUGCUGACUCGUGUACAAAGCUAGAGAGGUAUAAUAAACUUAAUUUAAAAAAACUAUGAUCCACUUUAAAUAUAAUUAAAAAAGGAAGUAUUCUAUAAUUGAAAGAAUUGAGUUCAAUUUUUAGAAUUAAAUUUUAUUAAUUAAUAAAUACAAUAAAAUAAAUAUUAUUUUAACUUACAUUUUUUAAAAGAAAGCGAAUAUAUUAUUUCCCCUCAUUUUAGUUAAGAAUAAAAUAAGAGUGUAAUCUUUAGUAAAAAUAGAAUUUUCUUGUACAUUUAUUUCAUUUUUAAUAAUUUAAAAUAUUAAAAUAGUAAAAUAUGUAAAUUUAUAUUAUUAUAAUUAAAUUUAAAUAAAAAUAUUUUAAAAAUUAUUUAAAUGAAAUUUAGUUCAGGCGAACAAAAAAUUUAAUUAAUACAUAUUUAAUAUAUUUUCACUUUUAAUUUUUUUUAUAUUUACUUUAAUUAAGUCAAGCAAAUUUAUUAAUGAAUGAAAUGAAUAUAACAUCACAAUUGUUUAUUUAAAUUAUAAUUUCUUUAUCUAUUUCACGGUGCAAUAUUACUUUUGAAUUUUUUUUUUCCACUUUUAUGAACAUAUAAUUCUAUAUUUAAAUUUUAAGUAAUUUCAAUAUAAUAUAUCCAAAUUAAUGAAUGAAAAAUUUAUGUUAUUAAAUAUUUUUUAUAAAAUUUUAUGAAAAAUGAGGUAAAAAAGCUAGUAUCAAUACGAAAAGAAAAAAAAGUGAAAGCAUAUAUGGAAAUAUUAAGUUUUAGGUUAGUUGUUUGAGUUUCCAAAUGCUUUCCUUUUUCGUUAUAUUUUAAGUGAGACUCGAUUUUCGAAUUAAACUAGUUUUUUAUCCCAUGCGAUGCACGGAUUAGAUUGUAUGUAUCAAAUUUGAAAUUUAAAAUUUAUUAGUUAAAAAUUUUAUAAUUUUUCAGUAAUAUUAUGAUUGCGAAAGUAAAAUAAAUAAUAUAAAUGUUUAAUUUUUAAUUUUUAAUAUUAAGAUGGUAUAUAUUAUAAUAGAUAUAAAUUAAGAAAAAAUAAGUUGAUUAAAAUAAAUUUAAAUUAAUUAUUGAUAUUCAUUAAAAUAUCGGAAAUCUAGAAUUCUAAAAAAUGAACUUAUGAUGUCACUGCUUUAUAUAUUCAAUAUCUCACUACAACAUAACAACAUUAAUAUAAUACUUUUAAGCUGGCACUUUUUUAAAUGUUGGGAUAGACUUGUCGACAUACGCUUUGGCUAACUCUUUGUAUAAGGGUUAGGAUAUGCAUGCCUAAGGCAACGUUUAAAUAAAAGUCAACUUUACCCGACACAAUACUGACUUUUGUUAUACCUUUCCCAAAUAUAUAAAAAUGUCGCCAUAUGAAAAUCCUAAGACCACUCCUUUUGAAGUAUGUCGACCUUUUUUGUGUUGGUUAAAUUUAUACCUUUAAUAGGUGUUGGUUGUUCAAAGCAUUAGGCCAUAUGAAAAGCCCUUAAAUUUGUACCAACCUUAUAGAGAGCAUCAGCCACUACAUUAAGAAAUAUCCCAAAUAUGUUCUUCCAUGCAUACAUAUCAACUUUCCCACAAUGUAUCAAACGAUUCAUAAGAAAAUUACAUGAGAAUACGUGUGCAAGUGUAACAAUUGCUUGCCUUUGAGUUCGAAACAAGAUAUUAAUAACUUUACCAAACAUUAAUGUAUGCCUACACAAUAAAGUGAAAAGGAUUAUUCUCCGGAGUUUUUAUACAUAGGAAGGAUUAGGUAAUCUUAAACAAGAACUGAUGCAAACUAAUUAUAACGGUGAUUUGGGGCUGAAAUACUUGCCUAUCACUCUCGAAUCUAAUAUCUUCAAGGCUUCCUCAGAUUUAAUGCAACUAGGUUUUUUGUAUUGGCUCAAUGAAGUUCCUUUGGACACAUAGUAAUCCAUUAGUGCCUCAAAACUUCCUUGCUUUACCACCCUAAUCUCCAAAGCUGCAAUUAUGUUCCUUUUCCUAUAGAUUUUAUAUGUAUAAUGCAAUGACUCUUCCAUUCUAGAGCAACACUCUACCAUUAUCUUUGGGUCGAGUUCUUUGCAAUGCUUGCCUUCUUUUCCCUUGAUCUCCCAAAAUAAGACAUAGUGACCUGGUGCUGAAGAAGUAUCAACAUAGCUAGUGUACUCUGUCAAGAUGAAUCCAAGUGGAUCGAGAAGAGCCUUUGCUUCUGUCACAGCCUUGGAAAGGUCUGUUUCGCUUGUUUUUUCCUGAUCAACACUUAGGAUAACAUUUUUCCUCUCCACAAAUUGGAAUUGAGGUGCAUUAUUGUAGAAACCACUCACCAUAAGAACAUCUCCAACUUUAUAUCGAU